UUAGGAUACAAAAUCUUAGCUUUCCCAGCAAACUGGGUGAUCACAGACACAAUGAGUUUAACAUUCUUCCCUCUUGAAAUCCAACGAUGAGUUCGGCCAGGCUGACUCAGAAAGAUCCGAAAUGCCCAGCAGUCUCAUUGAAAAGUGCUUUCGAGAAGCUUGCAUACCUUUCCCUGGUCUCCAGGAUCUGCACAGAGCUUGAAAACUAUAAUGGGGGUUUUGGAGACAAAGUCGUAACAGAGUUGAUAGCUGAGGUGGGGCGAAACUGUGAGGCGGUGGACGAGUUUCGUAAAGUGAUGAAGCAAAACGGUGUUGACAUGCCUGAAAAUGUUAUGUCCGUGUUGUUAACGAUUGUUCACUCUGUUCUUCAUCCUACAAAGGUUUCUCAGAAAAACAUAAUCCCGGACAUGGCGAUUAACAAUAGCAUGGGAAGGCAACGAGACGAUAAAAGAGGUAAAGGUGAGCUUAGGAGUAGGAGGAGGCAUAGAAAUUCACAACAGAAUAAAAACUUGCCGAUAUACAAGUUGAAGAAAGAGCUUAUUCAAGCUGUGCAUGAAAAUCAGGUUCUAGUUGUCAUUGGUGAGACUGGUUCGGGCAAGACAACUCAGGUAACACAGUAUCUUGCUGAAGCAGGUUACAGUACAAAGGGCAAGAUAGGAUGUACUCAACCCCGUAGAGUUGCGGUGACAUCUGUGGCCAUGAGGGUUGCUGAAGAAUUUGGUUGUGAUCGAUUAGGGGAGGAAGUGGGGUAUGCUAUUCGUUUCGAAGAUUGUACUGGACCGGAUACUGUGAUCAAGUAUAUGACUGAUGGGAUGCUUUUUAGGGAGUUUUUGGUUGAUAAUGAUCUUUCUCAGUACUCGGUGAUCAUGCUUGAUGAAGCUCAUGAAAGAACAAUCUUCACUGAUGUCCUCUUUGGAUUGCUGAAGCAACUUGUGAAGAGGCGUCCUGAUCUUCGCUUGAUUGUCACAUCUGCCACACUGGAUGCUGAGAAGUUCUCGGCUUAUUUCUUCGACUGUAAGAUAUUUACUAUUCCUGGUAGAACUUAUCCUGUAGAAGUGUUCUACUUGCAUCAGCCCGAAAGGGAUUAUUUGGAUUCAGCUCUAUUAACUGUUCUGCAGAUUCACUUGACAGAACCUGAGGGUGACAUACUUCUCUUCUUGACUGGUGAGGAGGAGAUUGAAUCUGCUUGUCAGUCUCUGAAUGAGAGAAUGAAAGAGUAUGGAAAAAGGGUUCCGGAAUUGAUCAUUCUACCGGCUUAUGGUGCCCAACCUAGUGAAGAGCAGGCAAAGAUAUUUAAUCCUACUCCUCCAGGGAAGAGGAAAGUGGUGGUGGCUACCAACAUUGCUGAAGCUUCUUUAACCAUUGAUGGGAUAUUUCAUGUCAUUGAUUCAGGAUAUGCAAAGCAAAAUGUGUAUAAUCCGAAGAAAGGGAUUGACAUGCUGACUGUAGCUCCAAUAUCACAAGCAUCAGCUAAGCAACGAGCAGGGCGUGCUGGGCGGACUGGACCAGGUAACUGUUACCGCCUUUACACUGAGGCUGCAUUUAAGAAUGAGAUGUCUCCUGCUACAGUUCCAGAAAUCCAGAGAACAAAUCUUGUAUAUACCACACUUAUGAUGAAAGCAAUGGGGAUAAAGGACGUUCUAUCUUUCGACUUCAUGGAUCCACCGCCUUCCCAAGCACUUACUUCUGCUUCAAAACAGCUGCAAAAUCUAGGAGCAUUGGAUGCAGAGGGGUCAGUGACAAAAUUGGGGAGUAGAAUGGCGGUGUUGCCUCUAGAUCCACCUUUGUGAAAAAUGCUGCUUGCCAGUGUGAACCUUGGAUGCAGUGACGAGAUUUUGACCAUUAUUGCAAUGGUUGAGGCAGGCAAUAUCUUCUACAGGCCUAAAGGAAAACAAGCUGAAGCUGAUCAGAAAAGGGCCAAGUUUUUACAGCCUGAGGGAGACCAUCUGACUUUACUUGCUGUUUAUCAGGCAUGGAAAGCUAAGAAUUUCUCUGUACCCUGGUGUUAUGAGAACUUUGUCCAGCAUCGGUCAAUGAGCAAGGCUAGGGAUGUCAGGAGACAGCUUCUUACUGUCAUGGACAAGCAUGAAUUAGAGGUUGUAAAUGCAGGGAAAGAUCGUACAAUGAUCAGAAAGGCGAUUGUAGCUGGAUUCUUCUUCCAAGUAGCUAAAAGGGAUCCACAUGAUGGUUAUAGAACCUUUGUUGAUAAUCAGCUAGUUUAUAUUCACCCAAGCAGUGUUCUUUUCCGGAGACAACCAGAUUGGGUCAUCUACAAUGAGCUGGUGAUGACCACAAAGGAGUACAUGCACGAGAUCAGUGUUAUAGAAUCUAAAUGGCUCAUGGAACUGGUGCCAGGAUUUUUUAAGGUAACAGUUCCUCCAAGGAUUAACAAGCGGAAGCGUCAAGAAAUUGAACUACUUAGUAGACAAUGUCCCUAAUAUGUGUAAAUCUGAAGUUCUAAAUACUCUUGUUGUCGAAGCAUGUAGAUAUUGUUGUCAAAAAUUUGUAUCCAGGUAUGAAUGCCGUAGCUAUGAUUUAACUAUUUCUGCUAAGUACAGACACUAUUUGUUCCAUGUUUAAUAUUUGAAUGUGAAACAUUUGUCAAUUCAAUCAUCUUUAGUGUCUUCUUUUCCUAUUUCUGGCGAUGCUGCCUUUUCUUUUGUUUUGCUAAUCCAAUUGUCAAAUGACUAUGAAUUUUCGUGGCGAAUCUUAUAGACGAAAAUGUUUGCAAUGACCCUUUUGAUGCUUGGGGAGAGAAUUCUGAUGGUCUUGCAUAAAGCUUCCAGAUAGUUUAAGGCAGAUGGUUAGUCAGCAGUAAUUUUCGAGCAGAAUCUCUGAGAGAAAGAGAGAGAUGGCAGGGAUUGGCAGCUGAGAAAAUCAGUGAAGCAUAUCCAUUGAAAGGUGGAUUGGCCCCAAUAGCUAUGCUAAGGACUCUACUUACCAGGUUUGUCUUACUUCACCCUAAAUGAAUUCAACUUAGUUCGACUCUGAUAUCAAUUAAUCAUUUUAAUU
Molecule: RNA transcript, 3012 nt
Organism: Fragaria vesca subsp. vesca
Lineage: Eukaryota; Viridiplantae; Streptophyta; Magnoliopsida; Rosales; Rosaceae
Gene name: probable pre-mRNA-splicing factor ATP-dependent RNA helicase-like
Exons: 3
Source: RefSeq, a predicted model, not a curated record